RNAcentral lists this transfer RNA (77 nucleotides) under Kaistia geumhonensis. RNAcentral's name for it is "tRNA-Arg". It matches the Rfam family "tRNA". Rfam says of the family: Transfer RNA (tRNA) molecules are approximately 80 nucleotides in length. Their secondary structure includes four short double-helical elements and three loops (D, anti-codon, and T loops). Further hydrogen bonds mediate the characteristic L-shaped molecular structure. tRNAs have two regions of fundamental functional importance: the anti-codon, which is responsible for specific mRNA codon recognition, and the 3' end, to which the tRNAs corresponding amino acid is attached (by aminoacyl-tRNA synthetases). tRNAs cope with the degeneracy of the genetic code in two manners: having more than one tRNA (with a specific anti-codon) for a particular amino acid; and 'wobble' base-pairing, i.e. permitting non-standard base-pairing at the 3rd anti-codon position. RNAcentral also lists the same sequence under 5 other names. Lineage: Bacteria; Pseudomonadati; Pseudomonadota; Alphaproteobacteria; Hyphomicrobiales; Kaistiaceae. The record is from RNAcentral.
GGCCCCGUAGCUCAACCGGAUAGAGCACUCGCCUUCUAAGCGAGUGGUUGCGUGUUCGAGUCACGCCGGGGUCGCCA